AACGAACGCUGGCGGCAUGCCUAACACAUGCAAGUCGAACGAGACCUUCGGGUCUAGUGGCGCACGGGUGCGUAACCCGUUGGGACCUGCCCUUAAGUUUGGAAUAACUCCCCGAAAGGGGUGCUAAUACCGGAUAAAUUCCUCCGUCCAAAGAUUUAUCGCCUUUGGAUGGGCCCGCGUUGGAUUUGCUAGUUGGUAGGGUAAAAGCCUACCAAGGCGACGAUCCAUAGCUGGUCUGAGAGGAUGAUCAGCCACACUGGGACUGAGACACGGCCCAGACUCCUACGGGAGGCAGCAGUGGGGAAUAUUGGACAAUGGGCGAAAGCCUGAUCCAGCAAUGCCGCGUGAGUGAUGAAGGCCUUAGGGUUGUAAAGCUCUUUUACCCGGGAUGAUAAUGACAGUACCGGGAGAAUAAGCUCCGGCUAACUCCGUG
This 433-nucleotide ribosomal RNA is filed under the name uncultured bacterium. RNAcentral describes it as "partial 16S ribosomal RNA". It matches the Rfam family "Bacterial small subunit ribosomal RNA", at positions 29 to 507 of the family's 1533-position model. The record is from RNAcentral.